CAAGAAGUACCGUUGUCUUUUACUCAAGUGUCUCCCUCCCCUACCUCUUGCUAAACCAGGCAUUUCUUUUUGGCAUUAUUUCAUAUGUCAAAUUAUGAGGAGAUAUCUGUACGAAAUAUUGAAAUGCAAGGAGCAGGAAUGUCAAAGUCACCUAAGGCAGCAAUCUUGGAAAUAAUUUUUCAUAUGAAUACUUUGGUAACAAUUGCU
Molecule: long non-coding RNA, 207 nt
Filed under: Prunus dulcis (almond)
Lineage: Eukaryota; Viridiplantae; Streptophyta; Magnoliopsida; Rosales; Rosaceae
Description: sRNA ncRNA
Source: RNAcentral